UACAGAGGGUGCAAGCGUUAUCCGGAUUCACUGGGUUUAAAGGGUGCGUAGGUGGAUUAGUAAGUCAGUGGUGAAAUCUCUGGGCUUAACUCAGAAACUGCCAUUGAUACUAUUAGUCUUGAAUACCGUGGAGGUCAGCGGAAUAUGUCAUGUAGCGGUGAAAUGCUUAGAUAUGACAUAGAACACCAAUUGCGAAGGCAGCUGGCUACACGAAUAUUGACACUGAGGCACGAAAGCGUGGGGAUCAAACAGG
RNAcentral lists this ribosomal RNA (253 nucleotides) under uncultured bacterium. Its description in RNAcentral is "partial 16S ribosomal RNA". It matches the Rfam family "Bacterial small subunit ribosomal RNA", at positions 524 to 776 of the family's 1533-position model. The record is from RNAcentral.